GGAGUUUGGACCGUGUCUCAGUUCCAAUGUGGGGGACCUUCCUCUCAGAACCCCUACUGAUCGUCGCCUUGGUGGGCCGUUACCCCGCCAACAAGCUAAUCAGACGCAUCCCCAUCCCCUACCGCAGAGCUUUAUUCACCGUCAGAUGCCAUCUAGUGAAACUAUCAGGAGUUAAUCCGGUUUUCACCGGGCUAUGCCUGAGUAGGGGAAGGUUGGAUACGCGUUACUCACCCGUGCGCCGGUCGCCAUCAAAGGAAGCAAGCUUCCUUCAUGCUGCCCCACGACUUGCAUGUGUUAAGCCUGUAGCUAGCGUUCAUC
This 318-nucleotide ribosomal RNA is filed under the name uncultured Prevotella sp. RNAcentral's name for it is "partial 16S ribosomal RNA". Lineage: Bacteria; Pseudomonadati; Bacteroidota; Bacteroidia; Bacteroidales; Prevotellaceae. The record is from RNAcentral.